Podarcis muralis (Common wall lizard) is the source of this 5126-nucleotide long non-coding RNA. NCBI's taxonomy places the organism in Eukaryota, Metazoa, Chordata, Lepidosauria, Squamata, Lacertidae. The record is from Ensembl.
AUGAGAUCAUGCUCCAGUGGUGCAGCAGCAGCAGCAGCAGCAGCUCCCUCAGCGACCCUCCGGCGCUCUCCCCGAGAGGAGCCGCCGCCUCGCCAGCUGCCGCCACCCCCCGUCCCUCGCCCCGGCGGCGUCAGCGGAGCGGAGGCGGGUCCCCAAGCCCCUCCCCCACGCCCACCUGCCUCGUCCCGCGGCCGCCGGGAGGGUCGCCAAGGCGGAGCCCCCGCCUCAGUUUGGGGAACUGCCGACCAACUUCUCUCGGUUGGAGAGCAGCGGGACAGCGGACGCGCUGCUGAGGCGCUUCUUCGUCUUCGUCGCCCGGGCGAGAGUAGCCAGCGCAGCCAGGCUGCUUUCUGGGUCCCCACACAGCCGAGGGUCGAGCUGUACAAGGAGGAAGGCUGGGGGGGGGAAGCAUGAGGAGCGCUGCCCCUUUUAUUUGGAAGGGAAAGCAUGGACAGCGGCUGCUGCUGCUAGUAAGGAGACGCGGUGGAACAGCGGGAGCAAACUUUCCUUGCUUCCCAUGCUCGCCAGCAGAACCUGGAAAAAGAAGUAGAGAGAGGAGGACUCUCCAACCAGAAAGCCCCCUGGGGAAAGCGCUGAGACAUCCUGCGUUGGACUACAACUCCCAGCAGCCGCAGAUGUGGCCGAUGAUGGGGGAGGGUUGGAGAUGCAGUUCAAAACAUCUGGAGGGCACCAGGUUGGGGGAGGCUGUUCUAAGCUUGGGGGUCUGUAAUCAAGCAAGAAAAGGGGGGUGACUGCUGCUCCUAGCUCUUCUCUCUUGCUGACUGUCUCUAGGCACCGAGGGGGCAAGGACUGUACCCAAGUUGCAACCACCUCUGCGUGCUUCCUUGCUUGCUUGCUUGCUUGCUUGCUUUCUCUCUCUCUGUGAGAGGUACUGUAUAUAAGGUUGAUGCUAGACCUAGAAGGUCACCUCACCACCUGCAUUCAGCCUAGUGAACCACACCUGCCCUGCCUUCCAGAGGCAAUAUGUGAGGGAGAGAAGGCAGUGGGUUCAUUGGACCCAAUCCCCAUUCCCAUGCUACCUACAAGGAGGGUGCAGGUAAACAAAUGAGUGCUUUAAUUGGCAGCUCCUUCCGUGACUAGCCCACUGCACACCGUGUCAUCAAGGCAGAAGGGGCUCCUCACAAUACUGUAUCUCUCCAGCCAGCCCCAUGGGCCCAAUCUUUCCUGCUGUGGUACCCAACAGAGGUGCACAAUAGUGGAGGUAGGAUCACUGGCCCACCUUAAGGACAUUUAAUGAGGACUGAGGACUUUUACCAUCUCAGUGAAAACUCAAAAGUGUGGAGAGAUGGCUGAGCAAGUGAAGAGGUAGAGUUUUGAUGAUGAUGAUGAUGAUGAUUUGCUUUCCUCUUUUAGAAAAGUCAUAGACUGCUCCUAAUUCUGAAUCAAAACUACAACUAGUGGGGAUUCAAAGGAUGAGGGUUUUCUCACUGCAUAGUGCUUGCUGUGUUUUGUAGUAUAUUCUGGAAGAAUGUAGCCCAGCUCAGGAAGUCUGUGCUCUUCUCACUUUCAGCAAGAUGUAAAAAUCUAGCUUUAUGAAAAUGUAGCAGACUCAGAUUCAGUGGCAAGUUGGACCUGUUUAGAAAACAUAUGAAUGGGGAAUCCUCUUGUAAAGGUGCACAUAAGGCGGGUGGAAACUAUUACUAUAUCUCCUGUAAAUCUCGGCAAUAAGUGACAGCAUUAUUAGUAAAAGUAAUGUAAUUAGCUUUCUCAAGUACUCAAAAUUGGUUACAUUUUUUAAAAAAUGACUAAAUUAAGUUUCAGUACAUACCACUCCAUUUUUAUUUCCUCUCCUCUAGGAGAUCCAAUUAUUGGUUGCAGCUUUCUGGUCACAACUUUUGCCUAGCAUAUCCCUGUCUAUACAUCUCCCUACUUAUUACAAUAUAUAUCCUAAACUAAAGCAAAUUACAGUCGUACCUUUGUUUACAAACAGCUUAGUUCUUGAACGUUUUGCCUCCUGAACGCUGCAAACCCGGAAGUAACUGUUCUGGUUUGUAAACUAUUUUUGGAAGCUGAACAUCCGGCAGGGCUUCCAUGGCUUCCGAUUGGCUGCAGGAGUUUCCUGCAGCCAAUCAGAAGCCGCACUUUGGUUUCUGAAUGUUUUGGAAGUCGAACAGACUUCUGGAAUGGAUUCUGUUUGACAUCCAAGUUACGACUGCAUAAAUAAGAGCAGGGAACUAUGAGUCUCCAAAUAUUGUUGGACAGCAACUCCCAUUAGCCCCAGCCAGCAUGGCCAAUCAGGGCUGUCUUUAGCAAAUGUGGCGAUGGAGUGCAACUAUCCGCCCAGCGCCCCCAAAUUACCAAAGAUAGUGGGGAGGGGUGAAGCUGUGCACUGCUAGCCAUCAGGGGGGUGCAACUCUCCCCCAUGCUGCUGAAGGAGAGCAAUCCCCACAGAGGCUUGGGAGGGAAGCUGCACCCCGCCAACCAUAUGGCUAGCAGGUACGCAGCUUCCCUCCCAAGCCUCCUUGGGAGGAGAGCGAUCCCCGCAAAGGCUUGGGAGGGAAGCUGCACCUGCCAGCCAUAUGGUUGGUGGGGCGCAGCUGGCGGGAGUGCAGGGAAAGGGGAAGCUGCCAGCAAAGCCGCACAGCUCCCCCACUCGCUGGGGCACCCCUGAGAGGCUGGCGCCCUGGCACGACACACCACUAAGCCCUAUGGGAAAGACGGCUCUGUGGCCAAUAGUAAGAGAUGAUGGAAGAUGGAGUUCAGCAACAUUUAGAACACUACCAAUUCCCCAUCCUGUCUAUAUAUUUAUAUAAUAUCAAAAGCUUUUCCAAAAUGUUAGCACUGUUGCCAUUCUUAAUACUGCAACACAGGGCUGAGAGGAAUGAUGCAGACUCCAAUUCCCAGAUAGUACUAGAUAAACAAGAACUGGCCCUAGAGAUAAGUCUUUGUACCUGCAAGUUUUGCUAAUUAAAGCAAAGACUAGCUUUGAUGGCACAGAACUGGGGAAAGAGUUAAAUCCCAUACUUCACAGGUCUGGUUUAGGUCCCUUGAAGCUGCUUUUUGUAAGGAAAAGGAUGUCAAGAGUUCCAUUCACAGAACUUCCAUGUCACAUCUAAUUUGACUAUAAUGUCUGUUAUGCUACCCAGGAGACAUUAUCAACUGAAAACAAAGAUUUGUCUAACUACAUCUGAACACUAUAAAUCCCAACCCUACCCAACCCCCCCCCCCCCCCACACACACAGGGAGAGAGGAUGAUUUAAGAUAUUAUACUUGUAUUGGCUGAUAUUCUAAAGUAAAAAAUAAUUUUGGCUGCUUUUGUACACUGAACAUAAAAUCAUGGCUCUUUAUUAACUGAGUAUAGAAAGCCCAAGAAGCAGUAGUAAGUAUAAAAUAGGGUUGCCAACUAAACAAAACCAAUAAGUAAAAGCCAGGCCUGUUUUUGAUCCUUUCAUAGCAGCCUGAAGAUUUUCACAGCAUGGAGAUAACAACUUUAGAGAGUGCUCGAAACAUCGAGAACUCUACUCAAAAAGUCGCCAAACAGUGGCUUUAUAGAUCUGUCUCUUAGCUUAGAUCUUUUGAUGUAAAUACAUGAAGUCUUCAAAAAGCAAUUACUGUAUCUGUUUACUAUGCUUUGUCCAAAGCCUGCCUUUCUGUAGAUUAGUCUCCAUGAGGUUACAUCACAUACGGUAAUACUUUUGUUGUUGGUUUAUACUAGCGUUGCAAGGUUAUUCAUACUGCAAAACAUCCAUCUUAUAACAUUAUUCUGAUAUGAUCCCACCUACCUGAAACUAUAUGUGUGCAUAUAAAUUUAGACAAUGUGUCCAUAUGCCGGAGGGAAAAGAAAGAAAGCGACCUCUGCUGACCAAGUAGUGCUGCUGAUUAUAUUUCUUCCUCCUGCUUUCAUUUAAGUAAGCUGUCCAGGAAAAAGAAGCCAAAACUAUCUAGGAAAUGCUAUUGCACACUACUACUGAGUUCAGAACAGGAAAUGGCUGCAUAUUGAUUAGGAGCACCAUAAAGAUAGAACUGCAUGGAUAAUGUAACCCCCCUCCCCUGGGGAGAUAAUCCUGCAUGCCACUGCUAGAAGCAACUGACAAGGUGAGGUAUAUAAAAUUAUGGAGGGGGUGAGAAAUAAUAUCACAUUUUUUAAACAUGGCUGCAAUCCUGAACAUCAAAUAGUGGCAUCUAAGCACAGGGUUGCAUUAAAAAUAUUAUUUCUAUAGUCUAAUUAUUAUUAUGUAUAGAUUAUACAUACAAUGUAAAUUCCUCUUCAACUUUUGUAACAUAAAAAUUCUGUCCAAGUAGGCCUUCCUGCAAAUCUAGUAGAGAUCAUGGCAGUAGAAUCCAAACAUACGCGCUCAGAAUGCACAAUGUUAAACUCUUGCUUCUUCUGAAAAGCACUGCUUUGCUCAUUUAAAAGUAGUUAUGUUCCAGAGAAGCAGAAUACUUCUAAGCUCUUCAGUGUGCUGAAAGUAGUAAAAUGAAAGCAAAACACACUGCUUCUGUUAAUGUAGUUGCUGUUUGAGUCCUAAGUAUUCACCCUGGAAUCUUCUAGUUCAAAUCUCUGUUUAGAUGUCAACUCACCAGCUAGCCUUUGGCACAAGUCAUUGUGUCUUCUUAGCUCAACCUCCAUCUUUGACACAUAAUGCUGCUGGUCUACUUUACAGGAGUGUUGUAAGGACUACUAAAAUACACUGUAUGAAGUAAAAAAAAAAAUACCACAAUAUUCAUCAUGGCUAAAAUAUGUGUUAUAAGUUUUUUUAGGGGAGGGGGGCCAAGGAUCCCCUAAACUCAUGGUUGCUAGAUCCUCCCCAUAAUUCCUGGAUUUAAUAAAAGUUAGAAUUAACCAAUGCUUAGAGCGUUAAACUGAAAGUUAGACUUUAAAGAGCUGGGUUCAGCUUUCCCUGUCCAGGAAACAACCUGGGAGAGGAACCAUCAAGGCGAUCAAAGCUAAUAAUGGCUGAGUCAUCAAGAAAAUCAUUAGGAAGGUGAAGAUUAUGCCAGAGAAAGAGGGGUGGGGGGGUCUUCCUCCAGCUGUGUGUUAGUGGGCAGAAGCAAAAGGGUUUAAAGCAGGGGUCUGCAAGGUUACCUCGCCUGGGCCGGUUCACUCCAGCAGAGUGGGCCAGAUUGCGCACCCAUGACUUCCGGCGUCUGCGUCUGCACAGAUG